RNAcentral lists this long non-coding RNA (387 nucleotides) under Androctonus crassicauda. Lineage: Eukaryota; Metazoa; Arthropoda; Arachnida; Scorpiones; Buthidae. The record is from RNAcentral.
CCGUUUUUAACAUACUCCGGAACGACAAAGAUAAGAACCAGUGCUCAUCAUUACCAGGGGUGUAUGAAAUCCCUGAUGGAAAGAUAUCGAGGUGGCUAGGCCAACAACAGCGUUAGCACAAAGAGCAAUGGUAUCAGACUUAACGGUAAAAUGGGAUGCUGCUAGACUGUUGAGAAAGGAGGAAGAUCCAUGGAAAGGAAAGGUCGCAGAAACAAUAACAUUUAUAAUAACAAGCGAUCGUCUGUCAAACCCAUUAAUAUACUUAACCCAGCCGAAAUCAGUAAUGCUUGGAAAUCUUGUGCCACACUACAAGAGGAUAAAGUUUAAAGGAACACUUAAUAGUUCUGGCUAUGUGUAUAUAUUAGUUUCUGUAUUAAUUUGAUAUUU